This 335-nucleotide ribosomal RNA is filed under the name uncultured Planctomycetales bacterium. Its description in RNAcentral is "bacterial SSU rRNA". It matches the Rfam family "Bacterial small subunit ribosomal RNA", at positions 473 to 806 of the family's 1533-position model. Lineage: Bacteria; Pseudomonadati; Planctomycetota; Planctomycetia; Planctomycetales. The record is from RNAcentral.
CAAAGGCUCCAAAGGAAGCCACGGCUAACUCUGUGCCAGCAGCCGCGGUAAUGCAGAGGUGGCAAGCGUUGUUCGGAAUUAUUGGGCGUAAAGAGCACGUAGGUGGGUUUGUAAGUCAGAUGUGAAAGCCUUCUGUUCAACGGAAGAAUUGCAUCUGAAACUGCGAGUCUUGAGUGUAGGAGGGGAGAAUGGAACUUCUGGUGGAGCGGUGAAAUGCGUAGAUAUCAGAAGGAACGCCGGCGGCGAAAGCGAUUCUCUGGCCUAUUACUGACACUGAGUGUGCGAAAGCUAGGGGAGCAAACGGGAUUAGAUACCCCGGUAGUCCUAGCCGUAAA